GAUGAACGCUGGCGGCGUGCCUAAUACAUGCAAGUCGAGCGAACGGACGAGAAGCUUGCUUCUCUGAUGUUAGCGGCGGACGGGUGAGUAACACGUGGAUAACCUACCUAUAAGACUGGGAUAACUUCGGGAAACCGUAGCUAAUACCGGAUAAUAUUUUGAACCGCAUGGUUCAAAAGUGAAAAACGGUCUUGCUGUCACUUAUAGAUGGAUCCGCGCUGCAUUAGCUAGUUGGUAAGGUAACGGCUUACCAAGGCAACGAUGCAUAGCCGACCUGAGAGGGUGAUCGGCCACACUGGAACUGAGACACGGUCCAGACUCCUACGGGAGGCAGCAGUAGGGAAUCUUCCGCAAUGGGCGAAAGCCUGACGGAGCAACGCCGCGUGAGUGAUGAAGGUCUUCGGAUCGUAAAACUCUGUUAUUAGGGAAGGACAUAUGUGUAAGUAACUGUGCACAUCUUGGCGGUACCUAAUCAGAAAGCCACGGCUAACUACGUG
Molecule: ribosomal RNA, 497 nt
Filed under: uncultured bacterium
Lineage: Bacteria
Description: partial 16S ribosomal RNA
Rfam family: Bacterial small subunit ribosomal RNA
Source: RNAcentral